RNAcentral lists this ribosomal RNA (484 nucleotides) under uncultured bacterium. RNAcentral's name for it is "partial 16S ribosomal RNA". It matches the Rfam family "Bacterial small subunit ribosomal RNA", at positions 30 to 507 of the family's 1533-position model. The record is from RNAcentral.
AUUGAACGCUGGCGGCAGGCCUAACACAUGCAAGUCGAGCGGAUGAAGGGAGCUUGCUCCUGGAUUCAGCUGCGGACGGGUGAGUAAUGCCUAGGAAUCUGCCUGGUAGUGGGGGAUAACGUCCGGACACGGGCGCUAAUACCGCAUACGUCCUGAGUGAGAAAGUGGGGGAUCUUCGGACCUCACGCUAUCAGAUGAGCCUAGGUCGGAUUAGCUAGUUGGUGUGGUAAAGGCCUACCAAGGCGACGAUCCGUAACUGGUCUGAGAGGAUGAUCAGUCACACUGGAACUGAGACACGGUCCAGACUCCUACGGGAGGCAGCAGUGGGGAAUAUUGGACAAUGGGCGAAAGCCUGAUCCAGCCAUGCCGCGUGUGUGAAGAAGGUCUUCGGAUUGUAAAGCACUUUAAGUUGGGAGGAAGGGCAGUAAGUUAAUACCUUGCUGUUUUGACGUUACCAACAGAAUAAGCACCGGCUAACUUCGUG